This 343-nucleotide unclassified non-coding RNA is filed under the name soil metagenome. RNAcentral's name for it is "partial contains 5.8S ribosomal RNA, internal transcribed spacer 2, and large subunit ribosomal RNA". The stretch from base 1 to 120 matches the Rfam family "5.8S ribosomal RNA", at positions 35 to 154 of the family's 154-position model. The record is from RNAcentral.
GAUGAAGAACGUAGCGAAAUGCGAUAAGUAAUGUGAAUUGCAGAAUUCAGUGAAUCAUCGAAUCUUUGAACGCACAUUGCGCCCCUUGGUAUUCCGAGGGGCAUGCCUGUUCGAGCGUCAUUACACCACUCAAGCACUGCUUGGUAUUGGGCAUCGUCCGUCGAAAGGCGGGCGUGCCUCGAAGACCUCGGCGGGGUUUCUCCAACUUCGGGCGUAGUAGAGUUAAAUCGAACGUCUUAUAAGCUUGGUGGGACUCCAUUGCCGUUAAAACUUUUAUUUUCUAGGUUGACCUCGGAUCAGGUAGGGAUACCCGCUGAACUUAAGCAUAUCAAUAAGCGGAGGA